CAAUAAUAAAUCUAAUUUAAAGUGUUUUUUUACAACUCCUGAAGUAGUAAAGUGCUACCUAGAAACCUAUUUUAAAGUAAACAACAAUGCAUGAGUCUUUUACAUUAUAAAGUGAUAAUUAAAAAAGGAUAUCUAUUUGUUACAUCUAAACGAGAAAAAAUAUGACUAAAAUUUUCAAGUUUGCUUACGCUAUGAUCUUUGUUCUUUACCUAUUUCUUUUUGUAACCAACAUCAACUGUGCUUCCUGUUGUAUUGACGUCGAUUGUUUUAAAUAUUGUUUAUAUCCUAAAAUUCCGUCAUGCAUUAAGAAAAUUUGUUAUUGUUUUUGGGGUUAAACUAUUAUUUGGAGUUGUUACUUUAGUCCCUAAGUCAAGUAAAAAUUCAAAUUAGUGUUUGAAUAAUUAAAAUAAUCUCUAAAAAAUAUAACUUAUUAUCAUAAAAGUAUUUAAAAGAUACUAUUUGUUGUUGAAAGAUAUUAUAUAUUUUGUUUUAAAUAUUUUAUGAAUUUUUAGCAACAAAAAUAUAUGUAAAUUUAGCACUUUAAAUGUAUUUUCCGACUAUUUUGAAAUGUGAGAGACAAGACAAUAUUUUAAUCCGGUGAAAAAAUGUUGUCUCAAUAUACAACAAAAGUGUUCUCUUUUUUUUUUCAUUGUGAAGGUUGUACCUGCGAAUUUUCCAACGGAUUUGUGCUAAAAUUUCGCAGAAAAUACGUUACCUUUGGAUUUACCGGCGGAAGUAUGUCUCCACGUAAAACCUUCAUGGAUAAUUGUUUUCUGAUAAUUUCUAAAUCUAUAGAUAAUCUGCGGAUGAUUCUGCAGGAAAAGUAAAUAAAAUCCGGAGCAAAUAUUUUAUAAACUUAAGACAUUUUCUUACGAAUUUGCAUACAUAACAGAUCUGCAGUGCCAUUCCUGGGAAUGUGUUCCAAGUGUAUUUCUGCAGGUAAUGUCAUAUUGUAAGAUAAUAUGUUUCCUUG
Molecule: non-coding RNA, 973 nt
Organism: Cicer arietinum (chickpea)
Lineage: Eukaryota; Viridiplantae; Streptophyta; Magnoliopsida; Fabales; Fabaceae
Source: RefSeq, a predicted model, not a curated record